GGGAGGGGCAGAAGCUGAUUUGUUUCAGUGGAUCUGCUGAUUUGGCCGCCUACAUCAACAUUCAGGUGCCUUUGUUCCCUGUUUUAAUCAUUUUAUGCUGCUUGUUCUUGAUAAGUAACAUGUCCUUUAGCAAGCAUUUAUCUGGUAGUAACAAAGGGAAGAUAAAAAAGAAAAAAGAUGAAGAGGUAAAAUCUCUAAAAGGAUCACUUAACAGAUAUUUCAAACCUGGUAGUUUUUCUAGAGAUCCCCUGGAACUGGCCAUAGUAUGUGUUGAAGAACAACCAACUGAGAAUACAAAUGCUACCGAUGAUGAUAUGGAUAUGGGUAAUGGUAAUUCCAGCGAGCAUGAAAAUGUAGCUCGUUCAUCAAAUUAUGAAUCACCGAGUGUCGAUAAACAACAACCAUUCAGUGUUGAUAUUUUUGACCCACGAAACUGGGAUAAUCUGGAUGAUAAGGCAAGAGAUAUUUUAGUUGAGAAGGGCCCUGUAAGGAAUGAUGAUAUUGUGUUCCCUCCAGAUAGUAAUUCUAUACAUUUUUCACUAUCUUAUUAUUCCACAAAGUUGAGGAAUGGAGAGGUACAUGCCAGGAAAUGGUUGGUUUACUCUGAACAUGCUAACAAAGUGUAUUGUUUUUGUUGCAAGCUUUUCAAAUCCCAUAUCAACAAGAGUGCGUUAGCUGGUAAUGGGUUGAGUGACUGGAAGCAUCUUAGUGAGAGGCUUAAAGAACACGAAAAUGGUGUAGAACACAUUAAAACCAUGAACACUUGAAAUGAGUUAAAAGUUAGACUGGCCAAAAAUAAAACCAUUGAUAAGGAUUUGCAGCAGAAGAUUAAUAAGGAGAAAGAACGUUUGAGACAAGUGUUAAUGAGAUUAGUAGCAAUUGUUAAAUAUCUUGGUAAACGUAACUUGGCUUUCCGUGGAUCUAAUGAGAAACUUUAUCAACACAGCAAUGGUAAUUUUUUGGCAUGUGUAGAGAUGAUUGCUGAAUUUGAUCCAAUAAUGCAAGAACAUCUUAGAAGAAUUCAGAAUGAUGAAAUUUAUCAUCACUAUCUCAGCCACAAAAUUCAGAAUGAGUUGAUUUCUCUAUUGGCCUCUAGUGUUACUGGUUCUAUCUUACAAAUUAUUAAAGAAGCUAAAUAUUUCUCCAUAAUUCUUGAUUGUACUCCAAAUGUUAGCCAUCAAGAACAAAUGACCCUAAUUAUUCGAUGUGUUAACAUGUCAAAUAGAAAAAUAAAAAUAGAAGAAUUUUUAUGGAAUUUUUGAGAGUGGAUGACACUUCUGGUUUGGGUUUUUUAAUGCACUUCUUGAUGCAAUUGAGUCUUAUGGCUUAAAUAUUGAUAAUGUAAGGGGCCAAGGGUACAAUAAUGGUUCCAACAUGAAAGGAAACAAACAAGGGGUACAAAGUCGUUUACUUGAAAAAAUCCAAGAGCUUUAUAUAUGCCAUGUGUGUGUCAUCGCCUCAAUCUUACUUUGUGUGAUAUAGCAAGUUCUUGUAGUAAAGUUAUAUCCUUCUUUGGAAUUGCGCAAUGGAUUUAUGUUUUAUUUUCAAGUUCCACUAAAAUAUGGAAAGUUUUACUUGAUCAUAUUCCUAGUUUAACCGUAAAAGGUUUGUCUAAUACUCGGUGGGAGAGUCGAAUCAAAAGUGUAAAGGCUAUUAGAUAUCAAGCUCCACAAUUAAGGAUCACUUUGUCCGAGUUAUGUAAAAUUUGUGAUGAUGCCAAGUCAAAGAGCGAUGCAAAAAAAUUAUUUGACGCGCUUGGUAGUUUUGAGUUUUUACUUGGCAUGGUUAUUUGGCAUGAUAUAUUAUUUGCUGUAAACAUGGUGAGCAAGAAGUUGCAGUCUGCAUCUAUGUGUGUUGACUCUACCUUGCAGCAAAUUGAAGGCGUAAUGUAGUUUUUUGAUAAGUAUAGAGAGGAAGGAUUUGCAUCUUGUUUAACUAUCACCAAAGGUCUUGCAAUUGAUAUGGGCAUAGAACCAUCAUUUCCAAUAAAACCUAAUGUUACUAGGAAGAAACAAUUUGUUGAACCUGAUAACGAUGAAGAAGUUCUAAAAGCUGAGAAGGCGUUCGAAGUUAAUUACUUUUUAGUUAUGGUUGAUAUUGCAAAGGUCUCUAAGAACUAGAUUCAAAGAACUCCAAGUUUUCAAAAGUAUAUUUGGCUUCUUACUUAGCUCAAAAGACAUGAAGUUAUUGGAUGAUGUCGAACUACACAAAUAUUGUGCUAAGUUUGUAGAAACAUUUUCACGAAAUGGUUCAUGCGAUGUUGAGUUAGAUGAUCUUUUUUCUGAAAUUAGACUGCUGCAAAUGACUUUACCAUAAUCAGAUUUGCCAUUGCAUGCUAUGGAGAUUUUUUGAGUUUGUUAGAGAUACUGACUGUUUUCCAAAUGUUUUAAUUGCUUAUCGAAUUUUGUUCACUGUACCAAUGACCGUAGCAUCAGCGGAGCGUAGUUUUUGCAAGUUGAAAUUGUUAAAUAACUACUUGAGGUCAACAAUGUCACAAGAAAUAUUAAAUGUUCUUGCUACUUUAUGUAUUGAGAAAGAUAAGUUGGAUGAAAUAAAUUUUGAUGCAAUAAUUGAUGACUUUGUUUCAAGAAGUGUUAGAAGAAUUUCCAAGUUCUAGUAUAGACAUGAAAUUCUCAGUUAGCUUUACUAUGCCUUGAGAAGGAAUGUUUGGAAGAAUUGAGGUACUAUGCUGUGAAGAAUUUUGGAGUGAAGAACAUGGCCGAUUGGCGAGGAUCGAGAAACAAAUGUAAGUUCAUGCCUAACUUUUUAUUUGAUGGUAACACAAAAGAUUUAAGUAGCAACCAGUUUUAACAGGAAUUUUUAUUUUGCAGAACAAAAUGACAGUCUCCAUUCAAAUUUAGGAAUGCAAGAUUUUGUGAAAAGAGAGCUUUUGUCAAACUUCAUCUCCUUACUAUCAUGAUGUAGUUCACUUGAUCGACAAAUAAAUUGUACUGUCAAUUUUAGAGUCCAAAUUACGAUCAUCAGACUACGCUAUGUAUUGGAUAUUACUUUGUUUUUUAAAUAUACAAUAUUUUGAACUUCUGAGUAAACAAGGGCCCCUUAUUUUUGUCUUGCCCCAG
RNAcentral lists this long non-coding RNA (3080 nucleotides) under Hordeum vulgare. RNAcentral's name for it is "long non-coding RNA (HVUL_LNC015172)". The record is from RNAcentral. Lineage: Eukaryota; Viridiplantae; Streptophyta; Magnoliopsida; Poales; Poaceae.